UACAGAGGUCCCGAGCGUUGUUCGGAUUCAUUGGGCGUAAAGGGUGCGUAGGUGGCGCCGUAAGUGGGGUGUGAAAUCCCGGGGCUUAACCCCGGGACUGCAUUCCAUACUGCGGUGCUUGAGGACUGGAGAGGAGACUGGAAUUUACGGUGUAGCAGUGAAAUGCGUAGAGAUCGUAAGGAAGACCAGUGGCGAAGGCGGGUCUCUGGACAGUUCCUGACACUGAGGCGCGAAGGCCAGGGGAGCAAACGGG
Molecule: ribosomal RNA, 253 nt
Filed under: uncultured bacterium
Lineage: Bacteria
Description: partial 16S ribosomal RNA
Rfam family: Bacterial small subunit ribosomal RNA
Source: RNAcentral